Tyto alba (common barn owl) is the source of this 1116-nucleotide long non-coding RNA. RefSeq lists it as uncharacterized. The record is from RefSeq and is a predicted model, not a curated record. NCBI's taxonomy places the organism in Eukaryota, Metazoa, Chordata, Aves, Strigiformes, Tytonidae. The transcript has 3 exons.
CAGAGCGCGUUGCGAGGCGCAGGACACCUGCCCAAGCCGGCUGCGGAAUGAUGCCCCGGGGGGGAGCUGCCUCCCCAAAACCACCAGGCAAGGGCAUCCCUCAUCAGCAGAACAAGUAGAUGGCCACCUUUGAGCCAGGACGUCGGGAGCCCUUAGACCUUGAAGAGGGCACGUCGCCAACUCGGCAAGCAAACUCAAGAUCCCUGUAUCCUUCGCUGAACUACCCUCAUCGUAAUACUAAAAAUCACGUCUGCGGGUCAAAAAGACCCUGGCCCAGGGUCGUGGCCGGCUCUCCCCAGCCCAAGGAGCAGGAGGGAGCGAAUCUACUUGAGUAAGUUCGGGGCUUUUCCGUGCACCUUCCCCGCUGACGGGAGGCGAGGGAUGCCGGGCAGAAGGUCUCAGCUCUGGCAAGCUGGUGUCUGGUCUCCAGUAGCACAAAGUGGGAUUUUUUCCAUGGGAAAACCAAACGCUCCACCAUCAAGGGUUCCCGUGAAUACCCAGUCCUGGUCCUCUGAGGACCAUCACCUCCAACCUUGAGGUUUCAGCCACAGAUACCUGAAGCUGAGGACCAUCAAGGUGGUCUCCCUGGGCUACACGUGGCUCCCCAGCUGGAUGGGGUCUCCUCCCCCUCUUGCAAGACCUCCCCGUGCCUGUGGUUUUCCUUGAUGAGAUAAGACCAUUCCGGGCACCCGCACUCGGCACAACCGGCUCCAGACCUGGUGAAUCAGCUACAUCCAAAGCCAGAGGCUUGGCUUAAAGUUCCAGGCAUGCAGAAAGCAAUAACGAAAGGGAUGAUUUUUCUCAUCAGUUUGCCUGUCUUUUCCAAGAUUGCGGUCCGCGACGCGGGGGGUUAGGUGGUUUUACUGGGGUCUUACUGAAAGCUGAAAUCCUGCCAGUCACGGGACUCCCGGAGGUGGGGCUUCGAAGAUGCUUCGAAGCUCUCCCCGCCAUCAGCCGAUGCCAUAAUGUUACUGUUAUUGCUGGAGCUGCUUUCGGGUGAGCAGCUGUAGCUCAGCCCAGGACAAGAGCGCCUGUCCCAAGCUCUUUGCACAAUUCAUGGCAUCCCUCGCGCAGGGGUUCGCGGGCCAACAACAACAUUAAAACAAUGUAAUGCAA